Molecule: long non-coding RNA, 1387 nt
Filed under: Canis lupus familiaris (dog)
Lineage: Eukaryota; Metazoa; Chordata; Mammalia; Carnivora; Canidae
Description: lncRNA (ENSCAFG00000058959.1)
Source: RNAcentral
GCUAAUAUAUAGUGUUUUUUUCUUCUGUCAUCAUUACGUUUUUUUUAAAAGAUUUUAUUUAUGUAUUUAUAAGAGACAGAGGCAGAAGGAGAAGAGGAGCCUGAAGCUGGCCUCAUUCCCAGGACCCCAGGAUCACAACCUGAGCCAAAGGCAGCUGCUCAACCACUGAACCACCCAGGCAUCCACUUCUAUCAUCUUCAUUUGAAAAAAAAGGGGACAAUACCAUAUUUAAUUGGCAUCUGGCUGCUAUACUCACAUUUUUGUUGGCCUAUACCAGGGAUAGAAUUUGCUGCAUCAAAAGGUAGGAUUAUAUUUGAUUUUAAAAGAACUCCAAACCACUUGUAAAACUGGUUAUUUUAUUUUCCAUUUUUGUAGCAGUACCUGAGAGUUCCCAUUACCUACAUCUUUGCCAGCCUUCUUAUAAGCAACAUGGAGUUGUUUUAUUUGUUGUGUUCGUCUGACAAAUGUUUUCUUUUCAUUAGAGCAUUUCGUACAUUUGUAUUUCAUAAAUUGAUGUUUUGUGAUAUAAAUCUAUAAUAUCACUAUUUGCUUAAUAUAUGUUCGACCUACCUCUUCCUCUCAUUCAUGAGUCCAUCCAAAGCUAUGCUCUGCUUUCGUGCCUUCUCAGUCACUUCUAGCUUUAUCUGAGGCCCUGGAGAGAAAAGCAGUCCCAAUUACAAUUUUUAUAAACAUUCCACUGUAUAUGUUCAUAUAUAUAUAUAUAUAUUUAUUUUAUUUUAUUUUAUUUGAGAGAGAAAGAGAGAGCACAUGAGAUUGCAUGUGUGGUAAGGUGGGAACAGAAGGAGAGAAUCUUAAGUAGACUCUGUGCUGAGCAUAGAGUCUGAUACAGGGCUCUAUCUCAUGACCCUGAGAUCAUACCUGAGCUGAAACCAAGAGUCUAACUCUUUACCAACUGAGCUACCGAGGUGCCCCUGCAUAUGUUCAUAUAUUAGUGGCUUUUAUGUGCUAGACAUUUUUAUAAACCUUAUCUCAUUUUCUCUUUAAAAAAAUAUUUGCAAGAGAAGAGGGAAGAAAAGAGGAGGGGUGGGGAGACAAGUCAGGUAAUGUGACUGAGGCUAGACUGACAGAUUUAGGAAGCUGGAGAGGGUAUGGCCUCAAGUUUACUUAAUCUCGAAGUCCAUACCAUUUUCAGAGCAUCACAGUGCCUUUUACAAUAGCAGACUACUGACAUUUGCUUUUUAAAUAGGAAAGAUUUAAAACAUUUUAUAAUUCUACUUAACAAAUGGCUGUAUCUUUCUCUAAGAAUAUUUAAGUAUAAUUUUACAAACUUAUAUGUUUGGAAACCUAUAUGUCAUAUGACCCCCCCCCACACACACACUCUUAUGUGUAUAUAUACCUAUAAUACAUAUAAUUUAAAAUGUGCUCU